UACGGGGGGGGCAAGCGUUGUUCGGAAUUACUGGGCGUAAAGGGCUCGUAGGCGGCCAACUAAGUCGGAUGUGAAAUCCCCAGGCUUAACCGGGGAACUGCGUCUGAUACUGGAUGGCUCGAGUUUGGGAGAGGGAUGCGGAAUUCCAGGUGUAGCGGUGAAAUGCGUAGAUAUCUGGAGGAACACCGGUGGCGAAGGCGGCUCUCUGGGACGGUACUGACGCUGAGACGCGAAAGCGUGGGGAGCGAACAGG
RNAcentral lists this ribosomal RNA (253 nucleotides) under uncultured bacterium. RNAcentral describes it as "partial 16S ribosomal RNA". It matches the Rfam family "Bacterial small subunit ribosomal RNA", at positions 524 to 776 of the family's 1533-position model. The record is from RNAcentral.